RNAcentral lists this long non-coding RNA (332 nucleotides) under Taeniopygia guttata (zebra finch). RNAcentral's name for it is "lncRNA (ENSTGUG00000022159.1)". Lineage: Eukaryota; Metazoa; Chordata; Aves; Passeriformes; Estrildidae. The record is from RNAcentral.
AGAAAGAUAUAUUUAAUACAGGCUAUGACCUCUAAUAGCAGGCAGAUGGAGAUAAGCACUUCUCUCCCUGGUGUUUUUCAGCUAGCUUAGCCAAGCAGCUGCUUGGAGCAUCCCCAGUGGAGGAGCUCCUCCAGUUUUCCCAUGGGAAACAAGAGGAUAAUGCAGUGGCAGCCUUUUGAGUUCACUUGCUGCAGGUCAUAUAGCAACUGGAAGCCUGCCCUGGCCUCAGAGAGGAUCUGCAGUGCCCACAGGAAUCAUGGGGUCUGAAGUAAUAAUUUAUAGCACACUUCAAUGGUAGCUGUUAGAACAAGGUUACUUCCAGGGUGAAAGGA